UUGGAUUAGGGAAAGAGAAUCUGAUACCUCGUUGUCAAAAUCAAAGUAGAAGAAGUAUUCUAAGCCCACUCUAACAUCAACAUCCAUCCUCCAUUCCCUCGCCUAACAAGAAAACUUACCAUCUUUUUUCACCUAAUUUCAUUUUAUCCAAAAUCCCACAUUGAAAUUAUCGUAUCAGAAUGAUGGGAGCUCAGUUGAGGAUCCGACCCGUCGCGGGAAUUUUAACGGAUCUAGCGGACACUAGGCGGUGGAGUUCCAGUUCGCACUGUUACUCCCCGAUUCGGAAUAUUUCGCAUCAUUUAUCUUCUAGAAAUAGGCAUUGUAGAAAGACGAGAUUGAUGGUGAUUUGUAGCAAGUCAUCACGUGGACGCUUUAAUGGGAAAUCCAAUCAGAGUGAUGAACGUGAUGAUGAUGAUGAUUAUAUUGAAGCCGUCCUUCUCGUUUCAGAGACAACGAGGCACUACAAAAUGCGUAUGCAUGGAUUUCAAGAAGAACCAAGAUGGCACUCAUCUGCUCACUUGGCUCCCUUUUCUUUUCACCCCAAGGAUCGUAUCGCUGAUGCAUCAUCUUUAGGGACAGGAUUUCUUCGCCGUUUCAAGAAUCCAACUAUUUUUCUUAAGAUUUCUUGUGAUGCAGAAUAUGUCUUACCAGUUAUUGUUGGUGAACAUGCUGUCAAAAAAUUGAUAGAUUCAUUGCACGAGGAGGAGGCUGAGGAUUACCCCGACCAGUUCCUGCUUUUGAGGAAUCUAUUGGCGAAAUUUGGCUAUGAAGUUAAAAUGGUGAGGAUUACCGAAAGAGUGACUAGUACUUACUUUGCCAGAAUAUAUUUCCAAAAGCCAGGGGAAAAAGAUAUUAUUAAUGUGGAUGCUCGUCCUUCAGAUGCCAUUAAUGUUGCCAGAAGAUGUAAGGCACCAAUUUUUGUAAAUAAGCAAAUUGUCUUGACUGAUGCAACGAGGAUAGGUUAUGGAAUGGACCGAUCUAGCAGAAUUAAGUCCACGUAUGAUGUAUUAUUAGAUAGACUGUCUGGCGCAGUGCAUCAGAUGGCCCCGAUUUACUUUCAGAAGAACUUAGUAUGUUGAGAAAUAUGAACUUAGCAGCGAAUGAGGAGAGGUACAAUGAUGCAGCUAUGUGGAAGGACAAACUGAUGAGACUUCGUGAGAAGACAUGAGAUCUAAAUCUUUCUCCAGAAAUAAAAUGUAAAUAUUCCAUCUGGAUUCGACGAUAAAGGAUGGCAGCUACGACACAGCGCUGUAUUUCAACUUUUCAACAACAUACUAACAAAAGUUUCAAGGAAUCAAUAAUCUACAGGGAAGUUCGAAAAUUAUUGUUGUGUACAGGUUUCCCUUGUGUCGGUUGGCUUUUUAUCUAGCUAACCGCGACAAUGCAACCUCUAGGUAAAACUGUAUAUAGUUUAUUUGCUGAAGAAUAUAUCAAGUCUGUGAGAAUAGCAUGUACAGAAAAGACGAGAAUUUGUUUAGACCAAAUCAUCUCGUGUAACAGAUAUUGCAAAUAUGGUAUGCCUUAAAAGCCAUGUGGGGGAUAUAUUACCAUGGCAUACAGACGGUGUCUUUCCUUUGGCUCUUUGAUGGCAACCAUCUCCACUCAUAGAUUGCUGUAUAAAGUUAAAGAAAGGGGCUUGGCUAUGCUGAACUGUAUUGUAGAGAAGGCUUACGUGAAUCUGAUCAAUGUACAUAUUAUGUUUUUUGA
RNA transcript from Lycium barbarum (goji berry), 1707 nucleotides. It is a transcript of the gene named bifunctional nuclease 2, with no coding region annotated. The transcript has 10 exons. NCBI's taxonomy places the organism in Eukaryota, Viridiplantae, Streptophyta, Magnoliopsida, Solanales, Solanaceae. The record is from RefSeq and is a predicted model, not a curated record.